This 253-nucleotide ribosomal RNA is filed under the name uncultured bacterium. RNAcentral describes it as "partial 16S ribosomal RNA". It matches the Rfam family "Bacterial small subunit ribosomal RNA", at positions 524 to 776 of the family's 1533-position model. The record is from RNAcentral.
UACGAAGGGGGCUAGCGUUGUUCGGAAUCACUGGGCGUAAAGCGCACGUAGGCGGAUCCUUAUGUCAGGGGUGAAAUCCCGAGGCUCAACCUCGGAACUGCCUUUGAUACUGGGGAUCUCGAGUCCGGAAGAGGUAAGUGGAACUGCGAGUGUAGAGGUGAAAUUCGUAGAUAUUCGCAAGAACACCAGUGGCGAAGGCGGCUUACUGGUCCGGAACUGACGCUGAGGUGCGAAAGCGUGGGGAGCAAACAGG